This is a non-coding RNA of Rattus norvegicus (Norway rat), 3786 nucleotides long. The record is from RefSeq and is a predicted model, not a curated record. NCBI's taxonomy places the organism in Eukaryota, Metazoa, Chordata, Mammalia, Rodentia, Muridae.
UAUCUGUCCCCGGGAAAUGCAUAUCCAGCUUAUGGAAAGUAUUAAUAAUGCGCCUUACACCAAACUGGCCCCCUUCCAUAGUGCAUGAUCUAAAAUUAAAUCCAUUUCAAAUAUACAGUAGAUCGAGUCAAGCUAAUAUAAAUGAAACGUGAUUAACGGGCAGUAUGCUGGCCUCCUCCCCAGGCAUGAGGGGGCAGGGCUGAAGCCAUCUUAGGUCCUCUUCUCUGUAGCCCCCCCAACCCCGAUUCCCCGUGGCCUCCAAGCCCUCUCUUUACCCUCACCCCUUCUCCCUCCCAGCCCUAGACCAAUCCUGUAAUUUGUCCAAAGUGUGAAAUCAGGGGCCACUAUUAGAGCAGAGCAGUUGAGCCAGACAGCUUCAGCCCCUCAGGACAGAGUUGAGGCUUAGAGUUUGUUACACACACAUGCGCACACGUGAGCACACACACAUACACACACACAAACACACAAGUACACAUUCACAUACAUACACACACUUGCACAUAUACACACAUACAUACAUACAAAUACACAUACAUAUACACACAUGCAUAUACACAUAAAUAUAUACACACAUACACAUACAUACACACAUAUAUACAGCAUACACAUACACACACGCAUACACGCAUGCACACGCACACGCACCCCAGAGCCUCAGCUUGCUCAUCUGUCCUAUAGACAGACAGCAAGUGCUGCCUGGACAGGGUUGUCUAAGUGCUAAUCGAGAUAAGGGUGCAGGUAAGGUAGCUCUUCGUGUUAGUUACCCUCGGAGGCCAGCACUCAUCCCUUCCCAGCCCCCCAACCAGCCGGUAGAACAAGGGCCAGCCAGAAUUCCUGCCACUGCAGGGAUACACUUGGUGGGCUAUUUUUAGAGCAUUGGCAAGAGUUACUCUGUUACUGACCAAAUGUUCCCACAUUGGGGACAGACGCUGCUAAGAGGGCACUUGUAAGCUGAAUGUGAGGUGGGAGGGGUGUUGGCUUCACAUUGUUCCCCGGAUGUUUAGUUGUUGUUUUGGUUUUUUGCUUCUCUUUUGUUAUUGUUGUUGUUUCUGAGAUAAGGUCCCAGGUAGCCCAGGCUGGCCUCAAACCCAUCAUGUAGUCAAGGCUGACCUUGAACUCCUAAACCUCUUACCUCUACCUCCCAAAUGCUUAGAUAAUUGGUAUGUACCAGCAUACCCAGCUAGGAGUGUUCUUGAGGCACACACAUUCAAGCACAGUGCGUGCGGCCUGAAGAGAGGGAAGAGGAAAAGUCCUGUGGGGACAGGGUUCCUGCCCAGCCUUCGUCCCCUCCUCAGCCUGGCAGGAUCUUGCUCUCAGGCUGCGUGUGGUCAUAGAAGCAACAGCAAUGUCACCCUUGGAGAGCCCUCCACGCUCCCCGUCUCAGGAGACACAGUCCAAUCUCUCACCCAGAACUCAAGGGAGGAAGACCCAAAAAAAUCUGCAAAAGACAAGUUAGAAGUGAGGGAGGAGAGAUAAUUCUUCAAUGUGGGACACAUCUGGGAGCCAAGGAGGCAGAGGCUGAGGGGAGAAACGCGAAAUUAUAUAUGGUCAUAAAAAAUACAAAACAGAAAAUCCUCCUCAAACUCUCCUCUUUAGCCCGUUCCGUUCCAAACUUGCCGUCUACAUCCCCCAGCAUGCCCUGGGGCAGUUGCAAGGACUUGCUACCCGUGAGCCUUUGGGGCAGAGGUUGCAGGACAAAAGCUGAGCGACCUCUGCUCAGGUGCUGCCAUCGCAUAGGCCCUGCCUUGAGCAGGUUGGCGUCUCUGGAGGGACGGAAGAGUCAGAGCCUAGCUGGGAUCUGAAGCUGCAGGGCGUGUGAGUUAGUGUUCGCACAGUUGCUGUAAGGACUGGGGAAGGAGAAAGAAGGGAGCCGAAGGGAGAGGGGAGAAGAAAAGGAAAACACCAGGACUAGACAGAGGGGGGGAAAGAGGAAGGAGAAAGGAGAGAGAGUACAGAUAGGAGACAGAGGGGGACAGAUAGAAGAGAGAAGGUGGAAGAAGAUGGGCCCAGAGGGGAGAGGAAGGGAGGGGAGGCGGAGUGGGGGCGCCGGUCUGGAGUCCCAGCUCCUUUCUCUGUCAUUAAGGGUAUUGAUGUGCUCAGGCGUCAACGAGUCUUUGUACAAGUGAAAGGAAACCUGAUGCUGCUGGUGACCCUGAACCCACGCCCUCCGUGUCUCCCUCCCCACCCCUCCCCUGGAGCAGAGUAAGAAGUGGGAGCCUUGAGAGCUGAGAUGGCUCAGACUCCCGCAAUCCCGGGUUGACCCCAGAGGGUGGCUAGGCAGGAACCCCAUAGUCUGGAUUUGUGCCCCAUCCAGGUCUCAUCAAAACCCUCCUGACUUCCUGGGUGCAUGAGGGUCAGAGGAGCUGAUUUCUAUGAGAUCCUAGGAGGCCUUGGGUGAGGCAGGGAGAAAUGCCAGAGGUUGGAAUGUUCAAAGUCAGGUUCAUCCUUGCCAUCCGAGUCUUGGCACACACGUCACCUCUCAGAAGCUCUCCCCAUCCCAUUAUGCCCGUGGCGUUCGCUUAUACAGUGCACGCUUGCCUGGGACCAUCUGGAUUAUCUGCUUGUUUUUAAAUGUGUCUCCCUGACCACUUGAGAUGAACAGGGACCAGGCCUACCUUAUUCACCAUCGCGUCCCCUACACCUCGCCCGCCCCGGCCAGAUGUUCCCUAGCGCUGGCUGACUUGAUGGAAGGAAAAGAGGAUGCCUGGACGUACAGACGGAUGCUGCAGGCUUUGCCCUCACCCUGAACCAGCCCCUCCUCGCCCCCAUCCGGGACCGCUCCCCGCCCGCGCCCGCGCCCCCGCCGCCGCCUGAGGCUGCGCCCCCCGCCUCCCCGCAGCCGUCAUUCGCGAAGCUGCCACAAUAUUGUGAAGGCUCCGCGCUCCCGCUCCUCGGUGCAGCCCGCAGCCCGCGCGGGGGAAGGCGAGCGACGCGGGCUGCCGAUGAAUAAUGCAUGACUAAGGCGCCCCCUACCGGCGGCCGCGGGCAGCGCGCAACCGGGCCCAGAAGGCCCCCACGCAGCAGGUCUUGCAGCCCUGCAGCUUCGCGCCCCAUACCCACCUUCCUCCGUCCAGAAACCCCAAGGCUGAGCAAGAAGCUUGGCUGCUAGAGUCGGGGAGCAUGCCAAGCAUGAGAUCCUGUGCGCGGUGGGGUGGAAUGGGGAAGCCUUGCACCUCCAGGGCCUCUGAACCUGGGUUUGGGCUAAGCCUGCAGUGCAGCCUCCAAGCCUGGACAACGCAGGGUCUUAAUUCAAAGGAGCGCAAGCGGUUUCACAAGUACUCCAAAUUGCUGUGGAAUAUUUAUAAGACCGAGAUAUGGGGGAGGGGUGGCGCAAAGUACAAUGACAUAUAGGCAUGGAAAUGUCACAAUGAAAUCCGACCCUUUGAAGAGUAAAAAAUAUAGUUUUCUUUUUUAAGUUAAAAAGAUGCAGCUGGGUGUGCACUUGGAGGCAGAGGCAGGAGGAUCUCCAUGAAUUCGAGGCCCACCUGGUCUACAUAGUUGAAACCCUACCUCUCCCUGCAAAAGGGGAGGAGGGAAGAUGUGCUGGAGAGAUAGGUGGCUCACGGGUUAAGAACGCUGGCUGCUCUUACAGAAGACCUGCGUUAGACUUGCAGCAUCCACAGGGUAGCUCAUAACCAUUUAUAACUCCAGUUUCAGAAGAUCCUACACCCUCUUCUGGCCUCCUCAGGCAUCAGGCAUCCACGUGAGGGGUACACAAAGACAUGCAGGCAAAGCACUCAUAUACAUACAUUAAAAAUAAACAAAUCUUUACAAAACGAGCAAAAA